RNAcentral lists this long non-coding RNA (1043 nucleotides) under Pan paniscus (pygmy chimpanzee). Its description in RNAcentral is "lncRNA (ENSPPAG00000044720.1)". Lineage: Eukaryota; Metazoa; Chordata; Mammalia; Primates; Hominidae. The record is from RNAcentral.
CCACUGGAAGCAAGAAGAGCAGUUCUUCAUCUCUUCAUUCUUUCAUUUAGUGAGUAUUCAUUGAGUGUUUUACUCUGUGCCAGCACAGAGCUAGGUGCUGGGGAACACCAAAAUGAACAAGAGAGCAUUAAUUCCCUGCUCUCAGAUUUUACCAUCUAACUGGGUCUACAGGCAAGUAAACUGGCAAGAACACUUUGUUAUAAGAACUUGCAUUGUAUCAAGUAACUGAAAGCCUUCCCGUCACCAUCCUUUGCAUCUGGGAACAAAGUAGUGCUGCCCAAGAUGUUUUUGUGGCAGAGAAGAUUAUGAAACAAACUUCCCCAGCUCUUUGGAGAGACAGAAAAGAAUGGCUAAGAAGAGCUGACUCUCUCAGUGAUAGAAAUGCAUGCUUUCAGCAAGAUACCCUCUAAGGGAUAUGAAACUUAUGUUUCCAAGGCAUUGUGUCUCCAGGAACUAGGAAAUGUUUUGAAAAUGAAGCAAAAUUGCUUGAUGAGUAAGAAGCUGAGCUAUGGUUUCUUCACUGAGAUCAGCUGUCUCCAGGAACUUGAGUAACUGUCUCCAACCCAGUGUGUGGAUGAGGAGAGCAGAAGGACCUUAGGUAAUCCAGGAUUUAGCAAAACACAAGAUUGGCCUCCUGAUAAUCCAUUCCUUGUAUAUAGCAACAAAACUACAAUGAAAAGUGUACCAAAAAAUCUCCUCCAAGUAAGAGCAUUAAGUUUUACAAUAACAAGAUCAAUACCAUGCUGGACCCAGGAUGUUUUGUGGGCAAUGCUUCCCCAUUAUCCUAGUUACCUCAAAAGAUUCUAGAUGAACCACAAGCAUUCCCAUUUGUCUCUGAAGUUCAUCAUGGAUCUGUCAUCCAUGAAUUCAGCUAACUAUUUGAGAAGUGAUUUAUAUCUCUAUCGAAUAAUAAGUAACAUAUGUUAUUUACUGUGUGAAGUGGUUUAUUCUUGUUUGAACUAAAUUUCUGUCUCUUGAAUUUUACAGGUGAUUUUUCUCAUUCAAUUAAAUCACAUUUGUAAACAAAUGUGUUUUCUUCCCCC